This 494-nucleotide ribosomal RNA is filed under the name uncultured bacterium. Its description in RNAcentral is "bacterial SSU rRNA". It matches the Rfam family "Bacterial small subunit ribosomal RNA", at positions 28 to 533 of the family's 1533-position model. The record is from RNAcentral.
GACGAACGCUGGCGGCGUGGAUUAGGCAUGCAAGUCGGACGGUAGGGCUUUAUCGUAAGAUAGAGUUUGAGAGUGGCGAACGGGUGAGUAACACGUAGGAAUCUACCCUUAAGACGGGGACAACCCAGGGAAACUUGGGCUAAUACCGGAUGUGAGCAACUUUUAGUUGUUUGAAAGGUGGCGUAAGCUGUCGCUUGGGGAUGAGCCUGCGUCCUAUUAGUUAGUUGGUGAGGUAACGGCUCACCUAGGCAAUGAUAGGUAGGCGGCCUUAACGGGUGGUCGCCCACACUGGGAUUGAGAUACGGCCCAGACUCCUACGGGAGGCAGCAGUCGAGAAUAGUCUACAAUGGUCGGAAGACUGAUAGUGCGACGCCGCGUGAACGAUGAAGGUCCCUUCGGGGUGUAAAGUUCUGUCCUAAGGGACGAUAAUGACGGUACCUUAGGAGGAAGCCCCGGCUAACUACGUGCCAGCAGCCGCGGUAAGCUCGUCUCUA